GGGAUUUGUUUCGCCCCUUCUAUAUAGGCUUGUGAGAGAGAGGAUACCGUGUCACACAAUGCAACGACGGUACCUGUGUCGGAGAGGGCGAUUCAGGCACCUGGAACUGAGACACUGUUCCAGACACCUACGGUGGCAGCAGUCGAGAAUAAUCACCAUGGGGCAGCCUGAUGGUGCACGCCGCUGAGAUGACGUCUUCGGAUUGUAAACUCCUGUCAUCGGAGUAAGACCUGGCUGUGAAUAGCAGACAGGGUUGAUAGUACCGGAAGAGGAAGGGACGGCUAACUUCGUGCCAGCAGCCGCGGUAAUACGAAGGUCCCGAGCGUUGUUCGGAAUCACUGGGCGUAAAGGGAGCGUAGGCGGCGUGGUAAGUCAGAUGUGAAAUCCCGGGGCUCAACCCCCGGAACUGCAUCCGAUACUGCCGUGCUAGAGGAUUGGAGAGGUAGCUGGAAUUCUUGGUGUAGCAGUGAAAUGCGUAGAGAUCAAGAGGAACACUCGUGGCGAAAGCGAGCUACUGGACAAUAUCUGACGCUGAGGCUCGAAGGCCAGGGUAGCGAAAGGGAUUAGAUACCCCUGUAGUCCUGGCAGUAAACGGUGCACGCUUGGUGUGAGGGGAAUCGACCCCCCUUGUGCCGGAGCUAACGCGUUAAGCGUGCCGCCUGGGAAGUACGGUCGCAAGACUAAAACUCAAAGAAAUUGACGGGGACCCACACAAGCGGUGGAGUAUGUGGCUUAAUUCGAUGCAACGCGAAGAACCUUACCAAGGCUUGACAUGGAUUUCUAAGCACGUGAAAGCGUGUGACCCUUCGGGGAACUUCCACAGGUGCUGCAUGGCCGUCGUCAGCUCGUGUCGUGAGAUGUUGGGUUAAGUCCCGCAACGAGCGCAACCCUUGUGACUAGUUGCCAGCACGUAAUGGUGGGAACUCUAGUCAGACUGCCCAGAUCAACUGGGAGGAAGGUGGGGACGACGUCAGGUCAGUAUGGCCCUUACGCCUUGGGCUGCACACGUACUACAAUGCCCAGCACAAUGAGAACCGAGACCGCGAGGUGGAGGAAAUCUAAAAAACUGGGCCCAGUUCGGAUUGGAGGCUGCAACUCGACUGCGUGAAGUCGGAAUCGCUAGUAAUCGUGGAUCAGAAUGUCACGGUGAAUACGUUCCCGGGUCUUGUACACACCGCCCGUCACACCAUGGGAGCGGGUUCUGCCAGAAGUAGUUAGCUUAACCGCAAGGAGGGCGAUACCACGGCAGGUCGACUGA
Molecule: ribosomal RNA, 1258 nt
Filed under: uncultured bacterium
Lineage: Bacteria
Description: bacterial SSU rRNA
Rfam family: Bacterial small subunit ribosomal RNA
Source: RNAcentral